This 811-nucleotide long non-coding RNA is filed under the name Monodelphis domestica (gray short-tailed opossum). Its description in RNAcentral is "lncRNA (ENSMODG00000047554.1)". The record is from RNAcentral. Lineage: Eukaryota; Metazoa; Chordata; Mammalia; Didelphimorphia; Didelphidae.
UAGAUUCAACCCGAAAGUUGUCUUCUUCCUUGGAAUGUGAGCUCUUGGGGGGCAGGGUUGGUCCAUCGCCAAUGUGGCGUCUGACACACAGUAGGAGUUAGUCAAUCAAUGAACAGUUAUUAAACCUGAACUUUGUUCUAGGCAUUAGGCUACGGACCAGGGAUCCAAAGAGGUAAAAAAAAAAAAGAUCUGGCCUCACAGGAAGCUGGGGAUCCAUAGAGAUGGCAGGGUUGGGGGUAGGAGCCUAGAACAGGGGGUGUCAGGCUGGGAGGGGGCUAGAACAGGGGGUGUCAGGCUGGGAGGGGGCUAGAACAGGGGGUGUCAGGCUGGGAAUUCCCCUGGUCAUCUAGUACCACCCCUUCAUUUUACUGAUAGGGAAACUAAGGACCAGAGGACAGUGGAGAGAAGACUGAACAAGGGUCAGGAGAUCCAGGUUCAAAUUUCGACAGAACUUCUCUGCGUGACUCUAGAUGAGUCCUCUUCCCUCCUCCUCUCUCAGGCCUUCAUUGGGAUACUUGGGAAGCCACGAGGUCCCCUUGGCACUGCAGUGAUCCUGAACAACCUGGAGGGAUCUAUGAGAAAGAACACUAUCCACAUUCAGAGGGGAAAUUGUGGGAGCAGAAAAACAGAAGAAAAACAACCGCUUGAUUACAUGGGUCGAAGGGGCUAUAAAUGAUCAUCCUAGUGCAAACAUGGAAAUAGGUUCUGAUCAAGGACACAUGUAAAACCCAGUGGAAUUGUGUGUCGGCUAUGGGAAGGGUGAGGGGAGGGAAAUAAUAAAGUUAUUGUAACCAAGGAAUAAUGUUCUAAA